CCAGACUCCUACGGGAGGCAGCAGUGGGGAAUAUUGCACAAUGGGCGAAAGCCUGAUGCAGCAACGCCGCGUGAAGGAAGAAGGGUUUCGGCUCGUAAACUUCUAUCAACAGGGACGAAAGAAAUGACGGUACCUGAAUAAGAAGCCCCGGCUAACUACGUGCCAGCAGCCGCGGUAAUACGUAGGGAGCAAGCGUUAUCCGGAUUUAUUGGGUGUAAAGGGUGCGUAGACGGGCUAACAAGUUAGUUGUGAAAUCCCUCGGCUCAACUGAGGAACUGCAACUAAAACUAUUAGUCUCUGAGUGCGGGAGAGGAAAGUGGAAUUCCUAGUGUAGCGGUGAAAUGCGUAGAUAUUAGGAGGAACACCAGUGGCGAAGGCGACUUUCUGGACCGUAACUGACGUUGAGGCACGAAAGUGUGGGGAGCAAACAGGAUUAGAUACCCGAGUAGUA
Molecule: ribosomal RNA, 451 nt
Filed under: uncultured bacterium
Lineage: Bacteria
Description: bacterial SSU rRNA
Rfam family: Bacterial small subunit ribosomal RNA
Source: RNAcentral